UGCCGGCCGUGUUGGCUUAUUCAUUCUUUUUAACGUAGCAUUCAGAGCUAGUUGUCGCGGUUGACUAUAGCAUUCAGAGUCAGUUCUUCCUUAUGGGUCUUCAAGGGUAUUAUAAUUUUCCACAUACGAUAUACAUAUUGAUAAGAUAAACGCUCUGCUCUACUACUUAAUUUGCGCUGUCCAUGAAUCUUGCUGAUCAUCAUGCGCACAAAUGAAUGGGACAUUGUUGUCAGUAAUCUAACUAAACAACCAGCCACAGCAAUCUAACUAAACAGCCAGCCAUACGCCCAGCGGCCAGCGCGUUCUUGACAACCUGAAAAAUACAAAAACACUGUCCUUUAUUAUAUACGUCAAUAAUUUUUUAACUUCCAAACCAAUUUCAUGACGUGCAAAUUUUUUAACGACUACAGAAUGUAAGAAUUCCGAUGGAUAGAGCGGAUCAGCAUCAGCAAGAUAAUCAAUUGACAUAAUAUCACAGCUAACAAUUAUCUUGGAACAACCAGACAUAUACGGUUAUAAAGAGAUCCACUAAUAUCAUCAAGCAUUUUAUUAGUUCUGACGGUUAGCAUAAAUGAAGAAAAACGGAUCACGUGCUAUUAAUAGUAGCAGAUAUGUUAUAUCUUUAGUGGGCAAAAUCACUAAAUUUUUAGAAUGCGCAGCCAUGAAGUAGAAGCUUUGAUCGGAGCUGAAAUUCGGUUUUGCCAACUGUAAGUGCAGAUAUUGCUGUUGACGAUGUCCUGUACCCACUGAGCAAAUUCAGAUAGUUUCGUACAGUGCAUGGCAUCCAUUGCAUUUAGAUCAAUUAAAGGAAGGGAAAAAAGUCAUGGCGUAAAACCGUAAACUAAUGCACACAAGCAUCUCAUUGUACUAUCAUAAUAUGUAAUUCUCAGCUAGAAUUGACAUUACAUGGCCAAACUUUUUCAGAUUGUGACAUCAUUUUUUUCAUGUACCCAAGACUGAAAACUGAAAAGGAACUUUCAAAAAGCUACUUACAGCAAUAACUUUGUUCUCUGAAAUGCUGGUUAGUACUAAAAACAAGAAGGCAUCGUUGUCAUUGUUUGUCUAGAACAGCAGUACAUAGGAGCUUAUCAAUCUGAAGCUUGUAUGCUGAACUCACCGAUUGCAAGGAAGAGGGAGAAGCUGAUGGAGGCAGGGCUACAGGAAACUGGUGUUGCGCGACACAGACAGGGAGAAUAAUGAUACGCACGGGUCUUGGACAGUGGACAUCUUUGCAGCAGGAGCCGGGUGUUUGGCUGACGAAGUAGUCGCUCAGCUGCGGAAGCAAUCUAUGUUAUUUCUAUACAAGAUGGGAAAACAAUCUCUGAAAUGCUUAAUGAUUCGUUUCCCAUCUCUAGAGACUGUAUGGCCUAUUAGCAUGGGCCACAUAAAAAUCAAGAAGAAUAUGUACUAUAUAUUAUGCACAUAUGUCACUACAACCCAUACUGUAGUAGAAUAGAACAGGUUGAAUCCUCGGAACCAACUUAAACUGACAACUUUCACUUCAUCGACACUCAAAUGAACACUCUUUCCUCUUUGCUCAUACUUUAUAGAACUGGCCACAGCUAUCACAAAAACUCAUAGUUCAGUCAAAAAAUUGUACAAUUUAUCUUAUUUCUGUUAACUGGGGGAAAUAGUAGAAUCAAGAUACUCUGCAGCCCAUAAAACUACCUCAUAUAUUAACUUGGAAAGGAAUUAACUAAGAAGUGGCCAAAAAUUAAGAGAUGUCUAAAAAGACAGUGACAUUGUGAAAGCAAGUGAUAGAUCUCUAAAAUUAGGAUGGAAUGAAAGGAACCAAGUAGUGUGACAAUUAUAAGAUAUAUAAAAAGAUAACAGUUGAUAAGCAAAUGAGAGAUCUCUGAUAAUGAUUUAUUAGCAUGAAUCUCAUAACCACACACUCAUGUUUCCCUUACGUAGGCAGCAAAAGUCUAAAUGAUUAAGAUACUAUCCUCUUAACCUAUUAAAUUUGGAGUCACAAACAUUUUCCUACCAUCAAGUAACCUACAAAACCCACACAAAGAAGGAUCUGACAAACUAACUUUAUUUUUUCAAACAUUCAAAUAUACAAAUAAGCCAAAAGAGAGAUAAAUUUUCAAAAAUAACUUUAUCAUUCACUGAUAUACAACAAGUAGUCUAGAAAACCCAUACUUGAAUCAUUCUUAGCAAGAUAAACAUGUAGUACCUGAAGAACAUGCUACACAAAAUCCCUCUGGAACUCCAAGGUAAUGAAUCAAUCUUAUGGGUUGACUAAACCAAUCCUUUUGAUUAAAGGCAUCCUGCAUGUGCAAAGCAAAAAACAUAUCAUAAUGGGAUAUCAACUUGAUGGAAAAAAAACAUACCAUAAAAUAUUUAGUUGCGAAAACGACUAUUGUACAAGAGAUAUCGGCUUGAUACGGAAUAUGAUGGAAUAAGAAUAGUAAUUACAGUGAUCUAAACACUCUUAUACUCCCUCCGUCCCGAAAUACUUGUCGGAGGAAUGGAUGUAUCUAGACGUAUUUUAGUUCUAGAUACAUCCAUUUUUAUGCAUUUCUCCGACGAGUAUUUCCGGACGGAGGGAGUAUUUCUUUAAGAGGGGGGUACAAAGUAAUGAUCUCAUAAGUGCGAGAGGGGAAAGAACAACACCUGAUCAUGUUGAAGUAUAAUAGUGAACUGUACAUUCACACUUUAGACAACCCGAGCUUUAUAACUGAAACAAAAACAAGAUGGUAUUGAUCCUCCUUGGAUAAAUUAAUUCCCAAUAGAGAAGAAGUUCUACUUGUGAAUCUACAAAAAUAAUUCAAUAUUGUUCUAGUAUUUAAAAAAAUUCACCAUGGAAGCUACCUCAUUAUCAACCCAUACGCAGAUUACAUAAUCAGUGCAACAUCAAGAAAGCCGAAGAUUGUGCAAAAAUUUGCAUCCACCUCUAAAUAUAGUAGAAGACCUGCAAGGAAGCGAUUACUAUUAGUAAUCUAGUAGAAAUUAUCAUCUGUCCCUACCAGAAACCUGAUUAUAUAUAAGCUAUUUGUGUAACAUAUGCACACAAAUUAGCUGCGGCUACAUUUACAUUCUAACUUGAAACGAUUGCGAGAAAGGCUUUUAAGAUAAUGAACACACCAAAAAGAAGUACAGUAGUUUUUUCUGCAUGAACACGAUUCCUCAAUUUUGGGCUUUUGGCUGAAAUUACAGCAUUUUCCAGUGCAGAAGUUGUCAUAUCUCUGCUCUAGAAGUGAUGUAUACGAAAAUAAGCACCAAGUAGAAGGCAAAACUAAGAAAUAGGAAAAGGAGAACCAAAGAUAUUGCUGGGUGGUACUCACUGAUUCAUGUGAAGACGAAGACAUGGGGCUGGACGGGGAGCUCGAACUUGAGAUUGAAGUACUCGCUGACUUAUGCUCCAUCUGAUCUCCAUGUCCAGCAGCCCCAGCCUGCUGCGAGCCAGCAACCUCCAAGGCUCCAACGUGCAGCCAGUAACCGUGCUGCUCUCUCGGCGCGUGGCCCGGUGACGCGCCCCGGCGGUGAUGCCUCUAAGCUCUGACGCACGACGGAAUCGACCCGGCUUCAGCCCUUCCUCCAGGUGGAGGGAGCUUGAUCCAAAGGAGAGAGGGGAGUGAAAAGAUUAGGAGGAACCUACUUCAUUGAUGCUUUCUCUGUUCACAGAUCGGCCAUGCGGGUGGAGAGGUGGGGGCCUGGCAGUGGUGCGUGGAGUCAUAGGCCGGCGGCGAAUUGGUUGUGUGCGCCGCCAGAUUUUGGAAGACAGGCGCAGUGGCGGAGGGAUGAC
Molecule: long non-coding RNA, 3751 nt
Filed under: Triticum aestivum (bread wheat)
Lineage: Eukaryota; Viridiplantae; Streptophyta; Magnoliopsida; Poales; Poaceae
Description: long non-coding RNA (TAES_LNC007862)
Rfam family: MIR1120/MIR1122 microRNA precursor family (bases 2437-2561)
Source: RNAcentral